RNAcentral lists this non-coding RNA (29 nucleotides) under Rattus norvegicus (Norway rat). Lineage: Eukaryota; Metazoa; Chordata; Mammalia; Rodentia; Muridae. The record is from RNAcentral.
UAAGACGACAGAGUCUGGUCCUUACGCUG